Molecule: ribosomal RNA, 300 nt
Filed under: uncultured Methanolobus sp.
Lineage: Archaea; Methanobacteriati; Methanobacteriota; Methanomicrobia; Methanosarcinales; Methanosarcinaceae
Description: bacterial SSU rRNA
Rfam family: Archaeal small subunit ribosomal RNA
Source: RNAcentral
CAAGACCGGUGCCAGCCGCCGCGGUAACACCGGCGGCCCGAGUGGUAGCCGUUAUUAUUGGGUUUAAAGGGUCCGUAGCCGGCCUAUUAAGUCUCUUGGGAAAUCUGGCGACUCAAUCGUCAGUCGUCCAAGAGAUACUGGUAGGCUUGGGACCGGGAGAGGUGGGAGGUACUCCAGGGGUAGGGGUGAAAUCUCGUAAUCCUUGGGGGACCACCGAUGGCGAAGGCAUCCCACCAGAACGGGUCCGACGGUGAGGGACGAAAGCUGGGGGCACGAACCGGAUUAGAUACCCUAGUAGUC